AAACUUAGGAUAACACAAACCGAAG
Molecule: transfer RNA, 25 nt
Filed under: Coccyzus americanus
Lineage: Eukaryota; Metazoa; Chordata; Aves; Cuculiformes; Coccyzidae
Description: partial tRNA-Trp
Source: RNAcentral